RNAcentral lists this transfer RNA (67 nucleotides) under Tyspanodes hypsalis. RNAcentral describes it as "tRNA-His". The record is from RNAcentral. Lineage: Eukaryota; Metazoa; Arthropoda; Insecta; Lepidoptera; Crambidae.
AUUUAAAUAAUUUAUAAAAAAUAUUGAUUUGUGGUAUCAAAAAUAUGAUUAAUUAUCAUUUUAAAUU